Molecule: RNA transcript, 2452 nt
Organism: Triticum dicoccoides
Lineage: Eukaryota; Viridiplantae; Streptophyta; Magnoliopsida; Poales; Poaceae
Gene name: CBL-interacting protein kinase 19-like
Exons: 3
Source: RefSeq, a predicted model, not a curated record
AGCAUCAAAUAGAGCGAAACAACAGGAAAACUAAGCCAAAGCCAAAGCCAAGCCAACCUGUUCCCGUUCCGUUCCUCCCACCCCCGCUCAACCCGCCUCCCUCCCCGCGCCUCCGCCCGUCCCCAUGGCGGCCACCCCGCCGUCGUCGCGGGACCCGUCGCCGCAGCCCCGCCGGCCGGCCGCCGCCGCGGGCCGGCCCGCCGCCAGCGGCACCGGCACCAUAGGCAACGGCAAGCGCGGCGGGCUCCUGCUCGGCCGCUACGAGCUGGGCCGCGUCCUCGGCCACGGCACCUUCGCCAAGGUCUACCACGCCCGCCACGCCGACACGGGCGAGACGGUCGCCAUCAAGGUGCUCGACAAGGAGAAGGCGCUGCGGGCGGGCCUCGUCCCGCACAUCAAGCGCGAGAUCACCAUCCUCCGCCGCGUCCGCCACCCCAACAUCGUGCGCCUCUUCGAGGUCAUGGCCACCAAGUCCAAGAUCUACUUCGUCAUGGAGUUCGUCCGCGGCGGCGAGCUCUUCGCGCGCGUCGCCAAGGGCCGCCUCAAGGAGGACACCGCGCGCCGCUACUUCCAGCAGCUCAUCUCCGCCGUCGGCUUCUGCCACGCGCGCGGCGUCUUCCACCGCGACCUCAAGCCCGAGAACCUCCUCGUCGACGAGCGCGGGGACCUCAAGGUCUCCGACUUCGGCCUCUCCGCCGUCGCCGACCAGUUCCACCCCGACGGCCUCCUCCACACCUUCUGCGGCACCCCCUCCUACGUCGCGCCGGAGAUGCUCGCGCGCCGCGGAUACGACGGCGCCAAGGCUGACAUAUGGUCCUGCGGCGUCAUCCUCUUCGUCCUCAUGGCCGGCUACCUCCCUUUCCAUGACCAGAACCUCAUGGCCAUGUACCGCAAGAUUUACAGAGGGGAGUUCCGAUGUCCGAGAUGGUUCUCCAGAGAUCUCACCAGCCUAUUGAAUCGGCUUCUUGACACCAACCCGGAGACAAGGAUCACCAUGGCGGAAGUCAUGCAGAGCAGGUGGUUUCAGAAGGGAUUUCGGCCCGUCAGGUUCUAUGUUGAAGACGAUCAGCUGCACAGCUUAGGGGACAGUGAGAGUGAGGAGCUGGGGCUGGUCGAACCUACGGAGCCUCCUCCUCCUCCUCCACUUCCGCCGCCGCUGCCGCCACCACCGCAGCAAGAGGAUGAUGACUCAGGGUGGGAGUCGGAUUCCUCUGUCGCAUCCUGCCCUGCCACGCUGUCGUCCGAGGAGCGGCAACGGCCUGCCGGGCGUCUCACACGGCCAGCAAGCCUCAACGCUUUCGAUAUCAUAUCCUUCUCCAAGGGAUUUGAUCUAUCAGGGCUGUUCGAGGAGCGAGGGAGCGAAGUGAGAUUCAUCUCGGCACAACCCAUGGAAACCAUUGUUACAAAAUUGGAGGAGAUUGCCAAGAUGAAGAGCUUCUCCAUUCGCCGCAAGGACUGGCGCGUAAGCAUAGAAGGCACCAGGGAAGGGGAGAAGGGGCCAUUGACGAUUGGGGCUGAGAUAUUUGAGCUUACACCAAGCCUCUUGGUGUUGGAGGUGAAGAAGAAGGCAGGGGAUAAGGCAGAGUAUGAUGACUUCUGCAACAAAGAGUUGAAACCUGGGAUGGAGCCUCUCGUGCACCACCAAUCUGGUUCGGCUCGAAAUGUACCUUCUGAUACUGAGUAGUUCUAAAGAAACCGACCAGAAGCGAAGGGCUGCGAACAAUUCAAUUCCUGUUCCUGCAAAGUCACAAACAUAUUGCUAUUCAGAAAGAGGUGCGGUAAGUUGCUUGUAUAUUCUAAUAAUCGUCUAUUAGUUCCAAAUCUGUUGGUCCAGAAAAAGGAAAGACAAACUGAAGCUUAGUGCCUAUUGUUUUUUGCUGCAAGCAUUGCAAAUGAAGAGGACCAAUGGUUCUGUGCUCCUGUAUAGUCGUGUAUGCGAGAAUGGAGGAGGUGCGAGAAGCACCUUCCAACACUGGAGUAAUAGGAGCUCAAUCAUGCCAGUAACUGUGAUGAUGAAUCAUAGCUGAAUAAAAAAAAGGUGCAGCCCGGUGCAUGUAGCUCCCGCUUGCGCAGGGUCCGAGGAAGGGUCCGACCACUUUGGGUCUAUUGUAUGCAACAUUUCCCUACAUUUUCUGUAAGAGGCUGUUGCUAGGGAAUGGUAGCUGAAAUGCAGUGAAAGAAAAAAGAAUGGCAUGCUUAAUUUAUGAUCUUCUAUUAUGGAUGUGUUCUUAUCCAGUUUUGAAGAUGUACAUACCGGCAAACUGAUCGCGUGGAUACCUACUAUACCGCCGGUUCUUGUUUAUUAAUUCACUCCAUCAAAUAAAUUUACAAGUAUUCCCGCAAAAAAAAUAUUUACAAGUAGAUUGAUUGGGAAAUUGCAAUGUGGCGUGAAGGAGGGGAAAUGCUUCAAAAAUACCAAUGUUGUGCAUAACAGAAUGCGCAUAAGGUUGUC